Molecule: ribosomal RNA, 794 nt
Filed under: uncultured archaeon
Lineage: Archaea
Description: bacterial SSU rRNA
Rfam family: Archaeal small subunit ribosomal RNA
Source: RNAcentral
ACUGCUCAGUAACACGUGGACAACCUACCCUUAGGUCAGGAAUAACCCCGGGAAACUGGGAAUAAUACCUGAUAUUGCGCGGAUGCUGGAAUGCUUCGCGCGAGAAAGCUCCGACGCCUAAGGAUGGGUCUGCGGCCUAUCAGGGUAGUAGUGGGUGUAACGUACCUACUAGCCUACGACGGGUACGGGUUGUGAGAGCAAGAGCCCGGAGAUGGAUUCUGAGACACGAAUCCAGGCCCUACGGGGUGCAGCAGGCGCGAAAACUUUACAAUGCUGGCAACAGCGAUAAGGGGACCUCGAGUGCCAGGAUACAAUCCUGGCUGUCGUAAUGCCUAAAAAGCAUUUCAUAGCAAGGGCCGGGCAAGACCGGUGCCAGCCGCCGCGGUAACACCGGCGGCUCGAGUGGUAACCGCUACUAUUGGGUCUAAAGGGUCUGUAGCCGGCUGGAUAAGUCUCUUGGGAAAUCCGGCAGCUUAACUGUCGGGCUUUCAGGGGAUACUGUCCGGCUCGAGACCGGGAGAGGUGAGAGGUACUUCAGGGGUAGGGGUGAAAUCUUGUAAUCCUUGAAGGACCACCAGUGGCGAAGGCGUCUCACCAGAACGGAUCUGACGGCAAGGGACGAAAGCUAGGGGCACGAACCGGAUUAGAUACCCGGGUAGUCCUAGCCGUAAACGAUACUCGCUAGGUGUCGGCCACGGUGCGACCGUGGUCGGUGCCGUAGGGAAGCCGUGAAGCGAGCCACCUGGGAAGUACGGCCGCAAGGCUGAAACUUAAAGGAAUUGGCGGGGGAGCAC